Long non-coding RNA from Spinacia oleracea (spinach), 1117 nucleotides. RefSeq lists it as uncharacterized. The transcript has 3 exons. The record is from RefSeq and is a predicted model, not a curated record. Lineage: Eukaryota; Viridiplantae; Streptophyta; Magnoliopsida; Caryophyllales; Amaranthaceae.
CCCUUAAGCCCCAAGAAAUUUUCCUUCUUAUUCACUCUUCUUGAUUCUACAAAUCAACUAUAAUUUCAACUAAAUUCUAACCCAAAAACAAAAACAAAUUUCAAUUUUCAUUCCUCUUGUUCUCUGUGAAUUGAACCAUCCAUAAUUACCACCAAAAACCACCGAGUCGUCUCAGUCAAACACCAACCACCACCACUGCCUACAACCACCAGCACCGACAACCACCGCAAUCACCAUCGCACACCCACCGUACUACUCCCUGCAUCCUCUUCUUCCCCUCGCGAUUCCCUGCCUCUCUCCCUUCCUUUGCCCUGCCUGCAACCACCGACUGUCUACUAUCUUCCACCACCACCGUGAUAACCACCAACUGUCCACCACCAUAACCACCGACCACCACCGUACUUCCUCCUCCCCCAAAACCAACCAAAAACCACCCUAUACCUCCCCUGCUUCCUCCUCUUUUCACCCUUUCACCCCCUUCUCUUGACCGCACCUCCGCCGCAAAACCACCCUCACCAUCAUCGUCGCGCUCCGGCGCGGUAUCGCGCUGCUGCGACACCCAGGUCGCCGCCCAGCUCAGCCGCCCUCCCUCCUCUCCUCCCCCCCUUCGUUCUCCUCUGGUUCCUUCCUCAAUUCGCACCUCAUUCUCUCUUCUUUUGACCAACGUGCCGCCGCCCAGCCACCACCCUCACCGGCGUAUUAAUCGACGCAACCCAACCCAACCGCCACCUCCCUCUUCCCUUCUUCUCUUGCCCUGUUACUCGUGCUUUCCUCCCUCCCUGUUCGUGCUCCCUAAUUCCAGAAAACCAAAAACCCAAAAUUCAGAAUAUUUAACUUUGGUUUCUAUUUUCCCCUCAAACCCAAAUUAAGGUUGGGCCAAUUGAAUUGGGCCUUUGAAAUCGAACUUGGAGCUCAGGAAGAACGAUCCAUCAGACGGGAAGUAUAAAACUACGGUUGAGGUACUGCGGGGAGCGAUGGACAUGAGUAGUGGCGAGGAAUUUCACUUUAUUAUUAUUCACCUAGUUUAUGCUUAAUGUUUUAAUAGUUCAAUUAAAGACUUUUAGUAAGUUAUGUACUUGUAUUUUGGGAAUAUAAAUGAUUAUUAUAUUAAAUUGGA